UACGAAGGGGGCUAGCGUUGCUCGGAAUUACUGGGCGUAAAGCGUGCGCAGGCGGUUUUGUAAGCCAGAUGUGAAAUCCCCGGGCUUAACCUGGGAAUGGCAUUUGGGACUGCAAGGCUUGAGUGCGGCAGAGGAGACUGGAAUUCCUAGUGUAGCAGUGAAAUGCGUAGAUAUCAGGAGGAACACCGAUGGCGAAGGCAGGUCUCUGGGCUGACACUGACGCUCAUGCACGAAAGCGUGGGGAGCAAACAGG
This 253-nucleotide ribosomal RNA is filed under the name uncultured bacterium. RNAcentral describes it as "partial 16S ribosomal RNA". It matches the Rfam family "Bacterial small subunit ribosomal RNA", at positions 524 to 776 of the family's 1533-position model. The record is from RNAcentral.